GGAUGAUAAAAUUACCUUUAUGUCCAUGCGAAGUGAGAGAGUCGCUAGAAGUAUAUGUUGUAUGUGGAUUUAGGUAGGGUAGUCUUGUGUCAGUUAGCGUGUCAGUUUGUGUCAGAUUCAGAUUGUGUUCAAGAUAUAUUAAGAGGUUGGCUACAUACAACUUUAGAUGAUAUUUGGUUCUUUAUUUCACUGUAUUUUCUGGGAUCUUCUUUUUUUGUCACGAUUUCUGGGUUCUUCUUAUGUCCUUUUUCUUUUACUAAAAUUUGGAUCUUCUUAUUUCCUUGUUUCACUGUAUUUUUCGGUUUGGUUCCUUGUUUCAUGAUGAGACUUGGUUAUUUGGUCCAUUGUUUUAUUGUAUUUCUGGGUUUUUCAAUCUGAGUCUCCUCUAUACUGCAUCACCUCCGCGUCUUGUCGAACACUCUGAUGUGUCUCUUCGUCCAGAUCCGCCGUUCAUCGCCUUGCUCCUCUCCCGCGGUUGUCAUGCUCUGGAUUUGGAAUUGGUGGCUUUCACCGUCGCGACUCCAAUUGGUCUCCAAAAGCUCGCUGAGACAACAAUGGCCAAGUUUGGCUCUUUUGCAUAUAUGAUCCUAAGAUUUUUCAUAGUUUUGUUUCUGACUCCGAACUCUUGCAUUGUACAUAUAUUUUCUCGAAUUAAUCCCUAGCGUUUUGAUUGUACAUUCUAGACCUCUUCACACAUGAAAAAAUGAUCCUUGAUCUCUGUAUAGUUUGUAUUUUUGACCUGAAACUUACUAAGUUGCAGAACUAUCUUUGAGGUUUCAACCUAAAACUUCAAAUGUUCACUUUAG
Molecule: long non-coding RNA, 806 nt
Filed under: Brassica napus (rape)
Lineage: Eukaryota; Viridiplantae; Streptophyta; Magnoliopsida; Brassicales; Brassicaceae
Description: long non-coding RNA (BNAP_LNC019919)
Source: RNAcentral